RNAcentral lists this ribosomal RNA (526 nucleotides) under uncultured bacterium. RNAcentral's name for it is "bacterial SSU rRNA". It matches the Rfam family "Bacterial small subunit ribosomal RNA", at positions 37 to 595 of the family's 1533-position model. The record is from RNAcentral.
UGGCGGCGUGCCUAACACGUGCAAGUCGAACGAGAAAGUGGAGCAAUCCAUGAGUAAAGUGGCGACCGGGUGAGUAACACGUGACUAACCUACCUCCGAGUGGGGAAUAACUCCGGGAAACCGGGGCUAAUACCGCAUAACAUCGCAAGAUCAAAGCAGCAAUGCGCUUGGAGAGGGGGUCGCGGCUGAUUAGCUCGUUGGCGGGGUAACGGCCCACCAAGGCGAAGAUCGGUAUCCGGCCUGAGAGGGCGCACGGACACACUGGAACUGAAACACGGUCCAGACUCCUACGGGAGGCAGCAGUGGGGAAUUUUGCGCAAUGGGGGAAACCCUGACGCAGCAACGCCGCGUGGAGGAUGAAGCCCUUUGGGGCGUAAACUCCUUUCGACUCGGACGAUAAUGACGGUACGAGUGGAAGAAGCACCGGCUAACUCUGUGCCAGCAGCCGCGGUAAUACAGAGGGUGCGAGCGUUGUUCGGAAUUAUUGGGCGUAAAGGGCGCGUAGGCGGUGCGGUAAGUCACCUGU